ACUCUAAUCCGGUGAGUAACAUCCUCGUCAAUUUUCCUGUUGCCUUGACCAUCCCAAAAUAAUGUCCUCUAAUACAUAUAUUAUAUACACAAAGUAAUAACAGGUCUAGUUUUAUUGUCAGCGCCACAUGUUUUCUCAAUAUAUAUUAAGUUGUUAAUAAGAGUGUAAACCAAUCCAAGAUAUUGAAGUAGUAUAGACGAAAUAAUAUUUUGUCCGUCCAUUUAUACAUUUUGAUGUAGUCUAGGAUUUUUAGCAUGAGUCUAAAUAUCUUAGCAAUUUUACUUGGAAAUACUUAAGAGAUUCUCGCCUCAGGGCUUUGGUGUAGUUGUAAGAGCAUAACACGUGAUGUUUGAUGUUUUGGUUCGGCGCAUGUCAUGGGCUAAAGACAAAACAAAGAUAAAUUCAGGAUUUAAGCUCUACGAGUUCAACCUUUUAAGUUUCUUAGCCUUGCACCCAUUUACUUUUAAAACUAUGGGUUCUUAUCAACUAUUUAUUACAAUUUUAGUGAAUGUUUUCACAUAACUGUAUGCUCCGCAUCGCUAGCAACGAACCCGAUACUUAUAAGUUGCAUCUGUCCCUGGACAAAAACCUAGUUUUUUUAGCAGA
RNAcentral lists this long non-coding RNA (606 nucleotides) under Nicotiana benthamiana. RNAcentral describes it as "long non-coding RNA (NBEN_LNC028954)". The record is from RNAcentral. Lineage: Eukaryota; Viridiplantae; Streptophyta; Magnoliopsida; Solanales; Solanaceae.